RNAcentral lists this long non-coding RNA (1018 nucleotides) under Homo sapiens (human). Its description in RNAcentral is "HSALNT0408124". The record is from RNAcentral. Lineage: Eukaryota; Metazoa; Chordata; Mammalia; Primates; Hominidae.
AGAUCAAAGAGAGACACAGAAGGUGAGACUGGGGAGAGAGAUAAUGUAAAAGGAAGAAAGAGUACAAGAGGAAGUGAGAGGAUGCAGAGAGGCUGGCAGGGCUGAGAAAAGGAUCUAGAGGCUCAAGCAACAAGGAGGUGCAGGGAAAGGGUGGAGCAUGGCCACUGAGGAGAGACAGAGCCAGAGAACUGGAGGAUGCAAGUGAGAAAGGGAUGUGGAGGAGAGUGUAGAAUCAGGCUGCUUGAGGAAUAGUAGGCUGCCUACAGCAAAGACUAGAUGGCUGUAUGUCAGGAGGUAAAUAGAGAGGAUUCAGGUUAUGAAAGGGUAAACCGAUAAGAUGACCGUUAAGGUUUUGUUGUUUUACUGAGAGGCUGUAAAUCCACCAGGGGAAGCUGUCACUAAGGCUGCAGAGGGGCUGGAGAGCUACACAGGGAAGAUCAGAACUACUGUUGUAAACAAUGCCGCUGGGUUAGGGUCUCCCCGACUGAGCUGGUAUCAGCAAAUGGCAUCCAUCAUGGGGACUCAAAUCCAGGUCAAAGGUUUGCCAGAGGGAUGGUUGGAGAACAUGGAACUAGCUAGAGGACACCUGAGUACUCUUAAAGCAAUCCCUGUGGCCAAAAUCAACAGCCAAUUUGGAUACCAUCAAGACAAAUGAAACCUUAUCAUGAGCCAGAUUCUGGGAGGAUCCCGAGGACCCCUCAGUUGAAGCCAUGUCAAGACUGACGUUGAGGAAGACCCCAGCUUUCACGAGCAACACCCGUUUAACACAGCCACCCACCUGGGGAGAGAUCACGAAGCUGUCACAGAUUGUGGAAGAAAACCUGAGAAAAGCAGGACAACCAGUCACAAUGAGUAAUUUAAUGUCUGCAGAUGUGGAUCCUGACUCCUGUGAGAAGUAGCUCACCAUGACAAAGCUGCCUUUGCUUUUAUCGCUUUGCAAAUCAAAUAAGGGGGACAUGUAGGGAACAGGCCCCCCCCAAAAUCUGGCCAUAAACUGGCCACAAAACUGGCCAUAAAC